UAAGGAAUAUUGGACAAUGGUCGCAAGACUGAUCCAGCCAUGCCGCGUGCAGGAUGAAGGCCCUAUGGGUUGUAAACUGCUUUUGUACGGGAAAAAACCCCUGAUCGUGAUCGGGGCUGAUGGUACCGUAAGAAUAAGGAUCGGCUAACUCCGUGCCAGCAGCCGCGGUAAUACGGAGGAUCCAAGCGUUAUCCGGAUUUAUUGGGUUUAAAGGGUGCGUAGGCGGGAUAAUAAGUCAGUGGUGAAAGCUCAUCGCUUAACGAUGGAAUUGCCAUUGAUACUGUUAACCUUGAGUGUGUUUGAAGUGGGCGGAAUGUGCAGUGUAGCGGUGAAAUGCUUAGAUAUUGCACAGAACACCAAUUGCGAAGGCAGCUCACUAAACCAUAACUGACGCUGAGGC
RNAcentral lists this ribosomal RNA (400 nucleotides) under uncultured bacterium. Its description in RNAcentral is "bacterial SSU rRNA". It matches the Rfam family "Bacterial small subunit ribosomal RNA", at positions 355 to 752 of the family's 1533-position model. The record is from RNAcentral.